UAGGGAAUCUUCCGCAAUGGACGCAAGUCUGACGGAGCAACGCCGCGUGAGUGAAGAAGGAUUUCGGUUCGUAAAACUCUGUUGUUAGAGAAGAACAGCGCAUAGAGUAACUGUUAUGCGUGUGACGGUAUCUAACCAGAAAGCUACGGCUAACUACGUGCCAGCAGCCGCGGUAAUACGUAGGUGGCAAGCGUUGUCCGGAUUUAUUGGGCGUAAAGCGAGCGCAGGCGGUCAAUUAAGUCUGAUGUGAAAGCCCCCGGCUCAACCGGGGAGGGUCAUUGGAAACUGGUUGACUUGAGUGCAGAAGAGGAGAGUAGAAUUCCAUGUGUAGCGGUGAAAUGCGUAGAUAUAUGGAGGAACACCAGUGGCGAAGGCGACUCUCUGGUCUGUAACUGACGCUGAGGUUCGAAAGCGUGGGUAGCAAACAGG
RNAcentral lists this ribosomal RNA (429 nucleotides) under Bacteroidota bacterium. Its description in RNAcentral is "Bacteroidetes bacterium partial 16S ribosomal RNA". It matches the Rfam family "Bacterial small subunit ribosomal RNA", at positions 355 to 776 of the family's 1533-position model. The record is from RNAcentral. Lineage: Bacteria; Pseudomonadati; Bacteroidota.